This 77-nucleotide transfer RNA is filed under the name Actinomycetes bacterium. RNAcentral's name for it is "Actinobacteria bacterium tRNA-Met". It matches the Rfam family "tRNA". From Rfam's summary of the family: Transfer RNA (tRNA) molecules are approximately 80 nucleotides in length. Lineage: Bacteria; Bacillati; Actinomycetota; Actinomycetes. RNAcentral also lists the same sequence under 1 other name. The record is from RNAcentral.
CGCGGGGUGGAGCAGUCUGGUAGCUCGUCGGGCUCAUAACCCGAAGGUCGCAGGUUCAAAUCCUGCCCCCGCUACGA